Molecule: ribosomal RNA, 484 nt
Filed under: uncultured bacterium
Lineage: Bacteria
Description: partial 16S ribosomal RNA
Rfam family: Bacterial small subunit ribosomal RNA
Source: RNAcentral
AUUGAACGCUGGCGGCAUGCUUUACACAUGCAAGUCGAACGGCAGCGCGGGCUUCGGCCUGGCGGCGAGUGGCGAACGGGUGAGUAAUACAUCGGAACGUGCCCAGUAGUGGGGGAUAGCUCGGCGAAAGCCGGAUUAAUACCGCAUACGACCUGAGGGUGAAAGCGGGGGAUCUUCGGACCUCGCGCUAUUGGAGCGGCCGAUGGCAGAUUAGCUAGUUGGUGGGGUAAAGGCCUACCAAGGCGACGAUCUGUAGCUGGUCUGAGAGGACGACCAGCCACACUGGGACUGAGACACGGCCCAGACUCCUACGGGAGGCAGCAGUGGGGAAUUUUGGACAAUGGGCGAAAGCCUGAUCCAGCAAUGCCGCGUGUGUGAUGAAGGCCUUCGGGUUGUAAAGCACUUUUGGCGGGAACGAAAAGGACUGUGCCAAUACCACUGUUCGAUGACGGUACCCGCAGAAUAAGCACCGUCUAACUACGUG